RNAcentral lists this ribosomal RNA (450 nucleotides) under uncultured Glomeromycotina. Its description in RNAcentral is "SSU rRNA". It matches the Rfam family "Eukaryotic small subunit ribosomal RNA", at positions 569 to 1024 of the family's 1831-position model. The record is from RNAcentral. Lineage: Eukaryota; Fungi; Glomeromycota.
AGCAGCCGCGGUAAUUCCAGCUCCAAUAGCGUAUAUUAAAGUUGUUGCAGUUAAAAAGCUCGUAGUUGAAUUUCGAGAUCAAUUUGUUGGUCGUGCCUCGGUACGUACUGGCAAUUUUGAUUUCUCCCUUCUGAAGAACCAUGAUGUCAUUAAUUUGGUGUCAUGGGGAAUCAGGACCGUUACUUUGAAAAAAUUAGAGUGUUUAAAGCAGGCUCGCGCUUGAAUACAUUAGCAUGGAAUAAUGAAAUAGGACGUUUGAUUCUAUUUUGUUGGUUUCUAGGAUCGACGUAAUGAUUAAUAGGGAUAGUUGGGGGCAUUAGUAUUCAAUUGUCAGAGGUGAAAUUCUUGGAUUUAUUGAAGACUAACUACUGCGAAAGCAUUUGCCAAGGAUGUUUUCAUUAAUCAAGAACGAAAGUUAGGGGAUCGAAGACGAUCAGAUACCGUCGUAGU